This 646-nucleotide long non-coding RNA is filed under the name Helianthus annuus (common sunflower). Lineage: Eukaryota; Viridiplantae; Streptophyta; Magnoliopsida; Asterales; Asteraceae. The record is from RNAcentral.
AACAAUUGCCCCCAAAAUAUAAGGAGUUUAUUGUAAAUUAACGAGUUAUAUUUUGCUUUGAUCUUAUCUGCGACGGGCAACUCGGAUAACUAGCCGUUAUAACCGGACUAGUCGUUGCAACCUUUACGUCACUGAAGUGACAUCCCUGCAAAUCAUGAUUAUAAAUAGGAGAUAGGGUCAGGAUCAAUCUGCAUUUAAAUUCAAGAUAUACUCCCUUUAUAAUCUCUACCGAAGAUCGACCAGGUAUUCUCUUCUCUUCUCUUGCUCUGUUUUUCUGCUCCCCUGUUUUUAUUCUGCCAUGAGUAUUCUCUUCUUUUCUUUCUUCCUUCUCUUGCUCUGUUUUUCUGCUCCUCUGUUUUCAUUCUGCUGUAAGUAUGUUGCUCCGAAAUUCUCCUCACAAGGAUCACAAGAAGAGCAGUCCCCUAAAAAGCCAAGGGAUCAUUAAAGACUCUCCUACGGAGAGAUGCUGCUUCACCGACGCUCAUGUUGAUAGGAUCCGUCAUUGUUUUCGGGCGGAUGCUAUCUUCAAGUCAUUCACUUCCACCGCUUUAAGCGAUUUUGUUUCCGACACUUGGGUGGCCUUUCCUGCAACUCCGUUUGCCAUAGGAUAUUCAUAUCCUUUUCCAGCCUUCACCCAAUCCUUCUU